UAGAAAGUAGGCUUCAGAUAAAACUCAAGGAAACGGCAUUCACAAAAAAAAAAUGGAAUAACAAAACAAAUAAUCAAUACGACUAGACAAGUUUAUUUUCAAAAUGUUUGUUAAAAAAACUAGGACGGAGUUUUUGUAUUUCAUAUUAUUGCAACCAUAUUUCUGCUUCUUUGUGUGUGUGUGUGUGUGGGGGGGGGCUAUUUUAUUUUUUCAAAUUUUCCAUAUGCUCUGUUAUUUUCUCUUUUUAUUGUCAAUUUUCCUCUAUUCCGUAAACCCUAUGUAGACCCUCAUAUAUUUGAAUAAAAGAAGAUAUAAGUUUUAGGGUGCGCUUGGUUGUCGUGUUCUGAACAGGUGCUGUCUGGUUUGAAUCCAGAAGUUAAUCGAACGAAUUGGAAGCGGAUGUAUAUUACUGCUGGUAAACGUGGCCUAAAGGAACAAACUCGGCAUUUCGAAAACUCGGAUCAUAAUAAACUCGGCCUGCUAGUAUUUAUAUAAAUAAAAAAUAAUUAAGUGAACAAGUCGGCAUUGUAGAU
This 533-nucleotide long non-coding RNA is filed under the name Mytilus galloprovincialis (Mediterranean mussel). The record is from RNAcentral. Lineage: Eukaryota; Metazoa; Mollusca; Bivalvia; Mytilida; Mytilidae.